UGUAGAAAAUAAGUAGAUUUGGAAUUUAAACAAAUCUCACUAAUGUAUAAUUACAUCUACUCUAGGAUUUGUUAUGGAAAGAAUAUACUUUAAAAGAAUAUACCCUAAUGUUUUUAGACAUUUAAUUGCAUGAGCUGAAGUACACUACAAGUGCACAUUCAAUACAAUUAAGUGCACUUCUUUUUCACAAGGGUAUUUAAAGACACUAUUGUGUGUCACAGGUUUGACUCAUGUUAGUCAUGUGCUGCAUCAUUUCAUUACACCAGUAAGUGGCUGAAUCGACUCUACCUUUACCAGAAACAAGUAAACCUACAUUCCAAGGACUCCACCAAACCACUAAACUUGUAUGUUUUUGUACACCCAUCGCUUAUCUGUAUUUAUUUGCUGAUUCUCAGAAAGUAACUAUAACUCCUGACUCCCGUGGGAGAGCUGAGUCAGCGCCACCCUUUUCCUGCUUCCUCAGAUCCAGGAUCAGCCUCUCUAUUGUGCUCGGAGAGAAGAACCGCCCUGGGUGAGGUGUAAACAGUCCGCCAUUGUUUCAAUGCCGGAGCAGGGGAAGACAAGAAUGUGUCACACCUCACAAGACUGAGGGAAUGCACCCCGGAUCUACCUAAAUGGGCUUGCUUGCACGAAUCAUUUGUGAUCCAGCUU
This is a long non-coding RNA of Labeo rohita (rohu), 651 nucleotides long. RefSeq lists it as uncharacterized. The transcript is spliced from 3 exons. NCBI's taxonomy places the organism in Eukaryota, Metazoa, Chordata, Actinopteri, Cypriniformes, Cyprinidae. The record is from RefSeq and is a predicted model, not a curated record.